CCCUGGUAGUCCACGCCCUAAACGAUGUCUACUAGUUGUCGGGUCUUAAUUGACUUGGUAACGCAGCUAACGCGUGAAGUAGACCGCCUGGGGAGUACGGUCGCAAGAUUAAAACUCAAAGGAAUUGACGGGGACCCGCACAAGCGGUGGAUGAUGUGGAUUAAUUCGAUGCAACGCGAAAAACCUUACCUACCCUUGACAUGUACAGAAUCCCGAAGAGAUUUGGGAGUGUUCGAAAGAAAACUGUAACACAGGUGCUGCAUGGCUGUCGUCAGCUCGUGUCGUGAGAUGUUGGGUUAAGUCCCGCAACGAGCGCAACCCUUGUCAUUAGUUGCUACGAAAGGGCACUCUAAUGAGACUGCCGGUGACAAACCGGAGGAAGGUGGGGAUGACGUCAAGUCCUCAUGGCCCUUAUGGGUAGGGCUUCACACGUCAUACAAUGGUACAUACAGAGGGCCGCCAACCCGCGAGGGGGAGCUAAUCCCAGAAAGUGUAUCGUAGUCCGGAUUGUAGUCUGCAACUCGACUACAUGAAGUUGGAAUCGCUAGUAAUCGCGGAUCAGCAUGUCGCGGUGAAUACGUUCCCGGGUCUUGUACACACCGCCCGUCACACCAUGGGAGCGGGUUUUACCAGAACGUAGGUAGCCUAAC
This 650-nucleotide ribosomal RNA is filed under the name Collimonas sp. AD69. Its description in RNAcentral is "bacterial SSU rRNA". It matches the Rfam family "Bacterial small subunit ribosomal RNA", at positions 785 to 1439 of the family's 1533-position model. Lineage: Bacteria; Pseudomonadati; Pseudomonadota; Betaproteobacteria; Burkholderiales; Oxalobacteraceae. The record is from RNAcentral.